ACAGCAGUCGCCACGGUAAUACGUAGGGUGCAAGCGUUAAUCGGAAUUACUGGGCGUAAAGCGUGCGCAGGCGGUUUGUUAAGACAGACGUGAAAUCCCCGGGCUCAACCUGGGAACUGCAUUUGUGACUGGCAAGCUAGAGUGUGGCAGAGGGGGGUGGAAUUCCGCGUGUAGCAGUGAAAUGCGUAGAUAUGCGGAGGAACACCGAUGGCGAGGGCAGCCCCCUGGGCCAACACUGACGCUCAUGCGCGAAAGCGUGGGGAGCAAGCAGGAUUAGAUACCCCGGUAGUCCCUGUCUCUUAUAC
This 305-nucleotide ribosomal RNA is filed under the name uncultured bacterium. RNAcentral's name for it is "partial 16S ribosomal RNA". It matches the Rfam family "Bacterial small subunit ribosomal RNA", at positions 505 to 807 of the family's 1533-position model. The record is from RNAcentral.